GUGAGGCGCAGCGGAGACGUGAUU
This 24-nucleotide non-coding RNA is filed under the name Cricetulus griseus (Chinese hamster). Lineage: Eukaryota; Metazoa; Chordata; Mammalia; Rodentia; Cricetidae. The record is from RNAcentral.